AUGCGAGGAGCCAGGGCUGAAUAUUUGGUAAUCCAGGAUCCGGCAGUAUUCAUGGUUCAUGAAGGUGAGACUGUGUUACUGAACUGCAGCUACUCUGCAAAGGAUGCCAACCUGCUGGUCUGGUACAUGGAACAUCCUGGACAACCUCUAAGAUAUUUAUUGAAGAGAUACCCGACAGGAACUGGUGGAGAUCAAUCCCCGGAUUGCCCAGACCGUUUUUCGGCUGCAGUAGACAAAGAAAGAGCGACGGUUCCACUCAAAAUAUCUGAUGCUCGUAUCUCUGACUCUGCCGUAUUUUUCUGUGCCAUGGUGCCCACAUUAGUGCCGAGCUAUAGAACGCCUCUUCAAAAACCUUUUUAA
This is a non-coding RNA of Hypanus sabinus (Atlantic stingray), 360 nucleotides long. The record is from the annotation of a RefSeq genome assembly. NCBI's taxonomy places the organism in Eukaryota, Metazoa, Chordata, Chondrichthyes, Myliobatiformes, Dasyatidae.